Acanthosepion pharaonis is the source of this 95-nucleotide non-coding RNA. The record is from the annotation of a GenBank genome assembly. NCBI's taxonomy places the organism in Eukaryota, Metazoa, Mollusca, Cephalopoda, Sepiida, Sepiidae.
CAUUGAAGCACCAGUUCCCGUACAAGCACUGAAGUUAAGCAACACUGAGCCUAGUCAGUAUCUAGAUGAGUGACCGCUUGGAAAUAUGCGUGUGG